UUUUUUUUUUUUUAAAGAAAAUGGGAAAAAGAAGAAAAGAAUAAUAAAAUAAGAAAUCAGAAUAGGUCUCACCGGCACGGCCAUCAAAAGACGAUGAAGAUAAGAUAUAUGGGGGCACCGAGAUCGAUCAUGUAGAUCCUUGUAAAAUUUAAUCGAAGCCGUUCAUUUGAGACUGCCCCAGGAUAAUACACACUAACUUGAAGAUAAGCCAAAGACGUACCACGAUAGAUCAAAUGAUGAACUGUCGAGGUCAUUCAACAGGAUGUUUUCCAUCUAAUGAGCUUGGUCCCACCCUAUUCUUUCUCUUUCUCCUUCAGCGUGUGGGGAACUGUUUGAGGGGGGGUCUUUUAGAUGAUUAAAGCCCCAUGUGGACGUGGGGUUCUCACGUGCACGUACAUCACUGCUUUUAUUUAUUUAUUUAUUUAUUGUAUUUUUUCUAAAAGGUCCCUCUUGUUGCCACAAUUGAAUCCCUUCCUGAGAGACUA
This 485-nucleotide unclassified non-coding RNA is filed under the name Hevea brasiliensis (rubber tree). The record is from RNAcentral. Lineage: Eukaryota; Viridiplantae; Streptophyta; Magnoliopsida; Malpighiales; Euphorbiaceae.